This 206-nucleotide ribosomal RNA is filed under the name uncultured bacterium. RNAcentral describes it as "partial 16S ribosomal RNA". It matches the Rfam family "Bacterial small subunit ribosomal RNA", at positions 568 to 774 of the family's 1533-position model. The record is from RNAcentral.
UGCGUAGGUGGUGGGGUAAGUCUCGUGUGAAAGCUCGCAGCUUAACUGCGAAAAGUCACGGGAUACUAUUCCGCUGGAGGCUUGGAGGGGGGACUGGAAUACUUGGUGUAGCAGUGAAAUGCGUAGAUAUCAAGUGGAACACCAGUGGCGAAGGCGAGUCCCUGGACAAGACCUGACACUGAGGCACGAAAGCCAGGGAGCAAACA